GCACUGCUGAGGAGUCCUACGAUAAGACGAAACGGCCGUCCAAUGU
This is a non-coding RNA of Schistosoma margrebowiei, 46 nucleotides long. Lineage: Eukaryota; Metazoa; Platyhelminthes; Trematoda; Strigeidida; Schistosomatidae. The record is from Rfam.